GGCGGCAGGCCUAACACAUGCAAGUCGAGCGGUAGAGAGAAGCUUGCUUCUCUUGAGAGCGGCGGACGGGUGAGUAAUGCCUAGGAAUCUGCCUGGUAGUGGGGGAUAACGUUCGGAAACGGACGCUAAUACCGCAUACGUCCUACGGGAGAAAGCAGGGGACCUUCGGGCCUUGCGCUAUCAGAUGAGCCUAGGUCGGAUUAGCUAGUUGGUGAGGUAAUGGCUCACCAAGGCGACGAUCCGUAACUGGUCUGAGAGGAUGAUCAGUCACACUGGAACUGAGACACGGUCCAGACUCCUACGGGAGGCAGCAGUGGGGAAUAUUGGACAAUGGGCGAAAGCCUGAUCCAGCCAUGCCGCGUGUGUGAAGAAGGUCUUCGGAUUGUAAAGCACUUUAAGUUGGGAGGAAGGGUUGUAGAUUAAUACUCUGCAAUUUUGACGUUACCGACAGAAUAAGCACCGGCUAACUCUGUGCCAGCAGCCGCGGUAAUACAGAGGGUGCAAGCGUUAAUCGGAAUUACUGGGCGUAAAGCGCGCGUAGGUGGUUUGUUAAGUUGGAUGUGAAAUCCCCGGGCUCAACCUGGGAACUGCAUUCAAAACUGACUGACUAGAGUAUGGUAGAGGGUGGUGGAAUUUCCUGUGUAGCGGUGAAAUGCGUAGAUAUAGGAAGGAACACCAGUGGCGAAGGCGACCACCUGGACUAAUACUGACACUGAGGUGCGAAAGCGU
This 729-nucleotide ribosomal RNA is filed under the name uncultured bacterium. Its description in RNAcentral is "bacterial SSU rRNA". It matches the Rfam family "Bacterial small subunit ribosomal RNA", at positions 38 to 762 of the family's 1533-position model. The record is from RNAcentral.